RNAcentral lists this ribosomal RNA (406 nucleotides) under uncultured bacterium. RNAcentral describes it as "bacterial SSU rRNA". It matches the Rfam family "Bacterial small subunit ribosomal RNA", at positions 771 to 1169 of the family's 1533-position model. The record is from RNAcentral.
ACCUAAUAGAUACCCAGGUAGUCCACGCCCUAAACGAUGCGAACUGGAUGUUGGGUACAUUACGGUACUCAGUGUCGAAAGCUAAACGCGUUAAGUUCGCCGCCUGGGGAGUACGGUCGCAAGACUGAGACUCAAAGGAAUUGACGGGGGCCCGGCACAAGCGGUGGAGUAUGUGGUUUAAAUUCGAUGCAACGCGAAGAACCUUACCUGGCCUUGACAUCUGUCGAAUCCUGCAGAGAUGCGGGAGUGCCGCAAGGAACGACAAGACAGGUGCUGCAUGGCUGUCGUCAGCUCGUGUCGUGAGAUGUUGGGUUUAAGUCCCGCAACGAGCGCAACCCUUACGUCCCUACGUUGCCAGCACAUCAUGGUGGGAACUCUAGGGAGACUGCCGGUGACAAACCGGAGG